AUUGAACGCUGGCGGCAUGCUUUACACAUGCAAGUCGAACGGUAACAGGCCUUCGGGUGCUGACGAGUGGCGCACGGGUGCGUAAUGCAUCGGAACGUGCCCAGAGGUGGGGGAUAACGCAGCGAAAGCUGUGCUAAUACCGCAUGUGAUCUGAGGAUGAAAGCGGGGGACCAGGCAGCAAUGUUUGGCCUCGCGCCUUUGGAGCGGCCGAUGUCAGAUUAGGUAGUUGGUGGGGUAAAGGCCUACCAAGCCGACGAUCUGUAGCUGGUCUGAGAGGACGACCAGCCACACUGGGACUGAGACACGGCCCAGACUCCUACGGGGGCAGCAGUGGGGAAUUUUGGACAAUGGGCGCAAGCCUGAUCCAGCAAUGCCGCGUGCGGGAAGAAGGCCUUCGGGUUGUAAACCGCUUUUGUACGGAACGAAAAGGCUCUGGCUAAUACCUGGGGCUGAUGACGGUACCGGAAGAAUAAGCACCGGCUAACUACGUG
Molecule: ribosomal RNA, 491 nt
Filed under: uncultured bacterium
Lineage: Bacteria
Description: partial 16S ribosomal RNA
Rfam family: Bacterial small subunit ribosomal RNA
Source: RNAcentral